UACGGGGGGGGCAAGCGUUGUUCGGAAUCACUGGGCGUAAAGGGCGCGUAGGCGGCCUGAUAAGUCGGGGGUGAAAGCCUGUGGCUCAACCACAGAAUUGCCUUCGAUACUGUUGGGCUUGAGACCGGAAGAGGUAAGUGGAACUGCGAGUGUAGAGGUGAAAUUCGUAGAUAUUCGCAAGAACACCAGUGGCGAAGGCGGCUUACUGGUCCGGAUCUGACGCUGAGGCGCGAAAGCGUGGGGAGCAAACAGG
RNAcentral lists this ribosomal RNA (253 nucleotides) under uncultured bacterium. Its description in RNAcentral is "partial 16S ribosomal RNA". It matches the Rfam family "Bacterial small subunit ribosomal RNA", at positions 524 to 776 of the family's 1533-position model. The record is from RNAcentral.